This 87-nucleotide transfer RNA is filed under the name Caenorhabditis elegans. RNAcentral's name for it is "Unclassified non-coding RNA K02A4.4". The record is from RNAcentral. Lineage: Eukaryota; Metazoa; Nematoda; Chromadorea; Rhabditida; Rhabditidae.
AAAAAGAGAUUUGGAGGCACGGGGAAUUGAACCCCGGACUUCUCGCAUGCGAAGCGAGCGCUCUACCCCUGAGCUAUGCCCCCACAU